RNAcentral lists this long non-coding RNA (295 nucleotides) under Lathyrus oleraceus (garden pea). RNAcentral's name for it is "Pisum sativum (pea) long non-coding RNA (PSAT_LNC030236)". Lineage: Eukaryota; Viridiplantae; Streptophyta; Magnoliopsida; Fabales; Fabaceae. The record is from RNAcentral.
UUUUCAUAACUUUAACCCAUCUUAGUUUAUAUAAACUGUCAUUUUCUUUAUUUCUUUUUUUAUGAUAUCUUUUUUAAAACAACAUAUUAUGAUAUCAAUAAAUUAUAUUUUAGAAUUUUAGAUUUAGAAAAACUCAAAUAUCAAUAUUUUACAAUUUAAGUCUAUAAAUUUAAUCAUAAUGUUUUUUGCAUUUUCUCUGUUUUUAGUCUUAAAACAUAUAUUUAACUUUUUUUUUAAAAGUUUAAAAUAAGUAAAUAAUUUUACAAAGGUUGGUUGGAAUAGUAAACAUAGUCAC